UUGGGCCUUCACAUACGCCUCCUUGGCGGCG
This 31-nucleotide small RNA is filed under the name Bombyx mori (domestic silkworm). RNAcentral describes it as "ovarian small RNA-1635". The record is from RNAcentral. Lineage: Eukaryota; Metazoa; Arthropoda; Insecta; Lepidoptera; Bombycidae.